Non-coding RNA from Schizosaccharomyces pombe (fission yeast), 204 nucleotides. The record is from the annotation of a GenBank genome assembly. Lineage: Eukaryota; Fungi; Ascomycota; Schizosaccharomycetes; Schizosaccharomycetales; Schizosaccharomycetaceae.
GAAAUCUAAAAAUGAAAAACAUGCUAAGGAUACGUAUGCUCACUAAUUAGCAAUUUUUAUAUAAAUCCGUUGGUUUUCCUUUGGUCAAAGAAAAAGCAUUUAUAACAUGUUUGCUUACAAUUUUAAAAUUGAUGAUAGGACUAACACUUGAUUCUUUACACUAAUUAGGAAUUUUUUAAGAAGGAGCAAAAUUUCUUGAAACCA